RNAcentral lists this ribosomal RNA (818 nucleotides) under uncultured Bacteroides sp. RNAcentral describes it as "bacterial SSU rRNA". It matches the Rfam family "Bacterial small subunit ribosomal RNA", at positions 739 to 1533 of the family's 1533-position model. Lineage: Bacteria; Pseudomonadati; Bacteroidota; Bacteroidia; Bacteroidales; Bacteroidaceae. The record is from RNAcentral.
AUUGACGCUGAUGCASGAAAGUGUKGGGGAUCAAACAAGGAUUARGAWACCUGGUAGUCCACMCUGUAACGAUGAUAACUCGCUGUCGGCGAWACAUAGUCGGUGGCAAGCGAAAGCGAUAAGUAUCACCUGGGGAGUACGACCGCAAGGUUGAAACUCAAAGGAAUUGACGGGGCCCGCACAAGCGGAGGAACAUGUGGUUUAAUUCGAUGAUACGCGAGGAACCUUACCCGGGCUCGAACGGUGCAUGAAUGAUUCAGAGAUGGAUCAGUCCUUCGGGACAUGUAUCGAGGUGCUGCAUGGUUGUCGUCAGCUCGUGCCGUGAGGUGUCGGCUUAAGUGCCAUAACGAGCGCAACCCUUGUCGUUAGUUACCAUCAAGUAAUGUUGGGGACUCUAGCGAGACUGCCACCGUAAGGUGUGAGGAAGGGGGGGAUGACGUCAAAUCAGCACGGCCCUUACGUCCGGGGCGACACACGUGUUACAAUGGUAGGUACAGAGGGCAGCUACCCAGUGAUGGGGUGCGAAUCUCAAAAACCUAUCUCAGUUCGGAUUGGAGUCUGCAACUCGACUCCAUGAAGUUGGAUUCGCUAGUAAUCGCGCAUCAGCCAUGGCGCGGUGAAUACGUUCCCGGGCCUUGUACACACCGCCCGUCAAGCCAUGGAAGCCGGGGGUGCCUGAAGUUCGUGACCGCAAGGAGCGACCUAGGGCAAAACUGGUAACUGGGGCUAAGUCGUAACAAGGUAACCAAGCCGAAUUCUGCAGAUAUCCAUCACACUGGCGGCCGCUCGAGCAUGCAUCUAGAGGGCCCAAUCGCCCC